Molecule: unclassified non-coding RNA, 254 nt
Filed under: Hevea brasiliensis (rubber tree)
Lineage: Eukaryota; Viridiplantae; Streptophyta; Magnoliopsida; Malpighiales; Euphorbiaceae
Source: RNAcentral
UAAUUAAAUUGAACUGAAUUAAUUUGAAUUUUGUCUAUUUUUUUAAUAUUGAUCUUGAUUUAAUUCAUUUUUUUUAAGAAAUUUCAGUUGUUCAAUUUGGUUUAAUUCAUUUGAUCAAAAAAUCCAACUACCUGAACCGAUUAAAAUUUAAAACCCAUAAAUGAGCUUAAGCGUAAGUGUUAACCCAAACAUAGUCCCAUGUUUGCCUAGCCUCAAUAGGCCUUGCCAUAGUGUUAAGUCUCCAUCUUCAGUUG